RNAcentral lists this ribosomal RNA (673 nucleotides) under Triticum aestivum (bread wheat). RNAcentral describes it as "partial small subunit ribosomal RNA". The record is from RNAcentral. Lineage: Eukaryota; Viridiplantae; Streptophyta; Magnoliopsida; Poales; Poaceae.
UUCGCCACUGUUAGUUACAUCACAAGUUACUCAUAAAAAAUCGAGCCCUGACUAUCAAAAAACAAAAAACAUUUCUGAAAAAAAGAUGAAUAAGGGCAUAUAUAGGCCUGGGCGUUCGGUUAGACCGAAAAAUUUGUUUCAGUACUUCGGUUUAUACAGAAAUUUGGUUUCAUGUUUUUUCCUGACCGAUCGAUCUUCAGAAAAAUCAAUGACUAAGACUUUGGUGAACCUAUAAUUCUGUUCGGUCCUCGGUUAUUACCGAAGGGACCCGAUAUUUUUGUUGGGAUGAAGAAUCGGGAAUCAAAUCUUGGCCAAGAAAAUAGGGAGAGGAGAACAAGAAUUAAUUGAUCCAUCUGUAUCAUACAGCAGCGGGUGCAUCAUCGGAAGCGGGCAGCCGUCCAUGAAGGAGUGUUGGCCGUGAACCCAUGACCGCGUGGGAGUGAUGGAUGUCCUCGGCCAUCACCUAUCGCGAGGGAGCCAUGGGCGCCGCCGGCAGCCACCACGCGGGACGCAUGGGUGCACGCACGCAGCCGGCCGCUGCUGGUUUGUGCGAGGUUGGGAAACUAGAGGUGGCGGCGCUGCGUGGAGUGGCCUGUAGAUGAGUGGAGGAAGGCAAAGCCUUUAGCGGAUCCAGGAUAAGAUGCGGGGACUGUGUGUGUGGUUGAGGAAAACG